This is a long non-coding RNA of Nicotiana attenuata, 559 nucleotides long. RefSeq lists it as uncharacterized. NCBI's taxonomy places the organism in Eukaryota, Viridiplantae, Streptophyta, Magnoliopsida, Solanales, Solanaceae. The transcript has 3 exons. The record is from RefSeq and is a predicted model, not a curated record.
CCUAAAUUGGUGCAAUCUCUUAUCUAUCUCCAAGAUUGGCUUAGAAGUGAACCUAUUCCUAUUAAAGUUGAGGAAGACUUGGAGUAUCUGGAACAACUGGAACUUGAUUUGGCUAAUUCUGCAAAAAAUUCUACUAUUAUUGACAUAUAGUUGCAACCUGUGGCAUGUGUGGUUUGAUCAUGGCGCCUAAAUUACAAUCACAUGUUUGGGAUCACUAUGAAAAGGUGGAGGAAAUUGAAAGAGUGCGCAUAAUGAAAGGCAUUCACUGUGGUCGAAUUUACCAUUGCCACAUGAAGAAAAAUGAGACUUACGGAUUAUGGUAUCAUCUUCAUAAAUGCUUAGAUCAACAAGUAAAUAGACAAGUGAUGUUGCAGUAGUAACUUGCUAGUGAACUCUUUCGGUAGAUAAGCUGCUGGUUGACUUUUGAGUAUAGUGGAGAACUUUCUUAUGUUUCAUGCUACUUAAUGUAGUUAUUUUGCUGGUUUUGAGAUUCCAUUAGCAUGAAAAUUUUCUAACUUCUGGAUUACUCUUUUGGUUAUGUAAUAUUGCUUGUACUAAA